This 4511-nucleotide unclassified non-coding RNA is filed under the name Lytechinus variegatus (green sea urchin). RNAcentral's name for it is "uncharacterized LOC121428705, transcript variant X3". Lineage: Eukaryota; Metazoa; Echinodermata; Echinoidea; Temnopleuroida; Toxopneustidae. The record is from RNAcentral.
UUACUUUCGCUUGAAAUGUGUUGCCUUGACUGCGAUUAUCAACAACGAAGACAAUUCUUGGGUCUCAUGAUUCAUCAAAUUUCACUUUUUCAGUGGACGAAUCCUAGAGAGGCAAAUCCAGGCUUGAAAACAGAUGUCUUCCUCUGGUGUGUGCCAGAUUGAUGCUUACAGUACUUUAAUUGCAACACAACUUGAUUGCAUCUCUUAUUCUAGUGAGCUGUACAAAGUGGAUUAAAAUGUCAGAGGUAAAAGAAGAAGACCAUUCCAAUGCUGUAGAAACUCCAGAGGAUAACAACACCGUUCAAGUUGUGAUAGAGCCUGCCACUCCAAGGGAUGGGAAGAGAGAAAGUGAAAGUGAAAAGGAAAUCUUAAAAACGGAAGAUACAGAACAGACUGAAACAGAUGGAAAAGAGUCUUCUGAAAAAGCCUCAGAAAAUGAAGUAAGCAAUGGUAUAGAAUCACCAGCAGCAGAUGAGAAUUCUAGUGAGAAAAAUGAUAAUUCUGAUGACAAUACACAGGAUAAUCAUUCGGAAGUGAAUCAACCUGAAGAAAACAACAAAAGACCUGAAGAGGUAGUGACAGAUGUAAAUGGCUCAAACACAAUUAUUCAAAACUUAUCAGAAAACAAGGUUCAAGAUGAGAAGGAAAUACAAGUUGGUAAGGUAGAGGAAAAAGGAGAUGAUAAUACAAUUGACAAAGAUUCUGCACCUGGAGGUGAUGAGGGAGAUCAGACAAAAUCAGAGAGUUCAAACGUAGAGGAAUCAGCGCCUCACAGUGUUACUGAACAUGGAAUAGAGGAAAAAAGUCAUGAAACAAUGAAAGAAGAUAAUGAUAAUCAAACUGAAGGAUCUUCUUGUGAUUCAAAGAAGGAUGGUGACUUCCAAGUCACUACUGACAUUCUCACUGAAGAUAUGGAAGCAGGGCAAAAGGGUCAUGAAUCAUCUAUGUCAGGAUCAGUCAGUGAUAAAGAGAGGACUGUUAAAACCCCAGAGAGUAUUGCUGUGUCUGUAGACCUACCCGUCAACAAUCUUGCCCCUAGCCAAUCCAGAUUGAGCAAUAGGCCUGUUACGGCUGAAUCCGAGUUUGUGUAUAAUGAGCAUGACUUUCCAACUCCAGACUAUGACAUUUAUGGACCUACACCAACCACUGCAGGAAGUGAUAAGAGACAAUUUAGCCCCAGUAAACGGGAAGGUCGCACCGCUAGCAGAGGAGAAGGUGCAAAGAGUGUUACAUUUGCAGAGGAUGUUAGCAAAGGUGGUGAAGCUGAUGACAAGGAUUCAACUCAUGUUUUGGAUAAAGAGGAACCUGAUCGAGAUAACCAAGACCAAGAGAUGACAGGGGAUGAGAAACAGGAGGAAGAAAAAGGAAAAGCUACAGAGCAGGAGGAUGAGGAAAGCAGAGAUAUAUUUCCCACUGCUGUCAGUGAAGAGAAGAUUGAGGAAGCAAAGAAAAAACAAGAAGGUUUCACAAAGAAAGAAGCUUUGGCAAUCGAGCUGUUCGGUGCGUCAAAAUUUGAGCCUGAAUCAAUGGAAGAUGUCAUUACAAAGAAGGCAUUCCAACAUUUUGAAGUUGGAUGUCGAUUGUUGGAAGACGGUGACUUUGGCCAGGCAGUGAUCAGUUUAGAUAAAGCUCUUAAUCUUCUUCCUAAAGAGGUCAAGUUUUAUUUGAUGAGAGGAGAAGCCUAUCUUCAACUUUGUGAUUUUCAGUCGGCCAUUCUUAAUCUAAAGAAAGCGUGUGUUCUUCAGCCAGAUAACCAUGAGUAUUACGCAAGACUGGCGUUUGUUUAUUACUUUCAGGGCCAGAGUUUGUUUGAUCAGUGUUUGUUUCCUGAAGCUCUAGAAUCCUUCUCAAGAGCAGCUGAAAUGAGGCCAGAGAUUAUAGCCUACCACACCAGAAGCAUCGCCUGUUUAGCAGCCUUACAGCGACAUGGAGAGUGUCUGGCCUUGGUGAAUAAAAGAUUAGAAACUGAAAGAAACAAUCCUGAUCUGUACAUUAUGAGAGCAAGGCUUCAUCAACUCUUUAGAAAUACGACAUUAUGUUACUAUGACUUGAAGGACGCCCUCGCUCUGAAUCCUGAUCAAGAAGAAGCAAAGACUUUGAUGAAAGAGCUUGAGAGGAAAGCAGAGGAGAACAGAAACCAUGCCAUUAGACUUCAACUACAAGGAAAGUUUAAAGACAGUCUCACAAAGAUCACCAUAGCCAUAGAGAUGAAUCCUUCAGUGUCUGACUACCAUCUUCAGAGAGGAGCUCUUCAUCGGCGUCUGCAUGACUACAAUGCUGCAAUCGAUGACUUCCUAUUGGCUAUGGAUAAAACAGAACACAACGAGUACAGCAACAUCUACACAGAUGCUCAGCGACAGCUUCUGCUAACAUAUAAUGACUUUGCUGUGGAGUGCUUUAGUGGAAACCAUUUUGAAGAAGCCAUUUUACUUUUGAAUAAAGCAUUGAAAGGGGAGAAGAGAGAGAAGGGUCUCUACAUCAACAGAGGAGACUGCUUCUUCCGUCUUCAAGAGCUUCACUUUGCUUUAGCUGACUACCAUCAAGCUUCAGAGCUUGAUCCCUCAGACGCUGGCAUACGGUCCAGAGUAGCGGCUAUUCACAAUCAGUUUGGUUUACAGGAUUAUGAAGAGCAUAGUUACCAGGAUGCGGAAUCCAGAUUUACUAUUGCUAUACAACACAACCCAAAGCAUGGAGCGUACUACAUCUCACGCUGUAAAGUCAGACUAAUGAUGGAGAAUCAGUCAGGAGCAAGACAAGACUUUCUGAUGGCCCUUCAUCUUGACUCAUCAAACACUGAGAUCCUAACUCUGAUGCCUCGUAUCUAUCCUGGCAAGUCAGUUGGUGAUGUGAUGAGAACAAAACAUGCCAAGGAGGCCAAGAUAGCAGCUGAUAAUGCUGUCAUCACUGCUUCACCAAUCGUUCUACCAACAAUGAACAGUUCUGCACAGAAUAGUCAAGAGGAUCUAGGCGCCACCAGUAAACGAGUUAACUUUGAUCCUGAAUUAGUAUCAGACACAGUUGUCCCACCGCUGAAGUACUGUAUGAAUGAACAGGACUUCAACAGAGCUUUGACCAAACAAAAGAGAAAGAUUUCCAACCAUGUGAAGUCACUUCUCAAUGACCGAGGAACAAUGCGUGCUGAUAAACUUAAACUGAAUCCCAUACCUCCUCCCAGACCUUAUGAGGUGAGGGGAGGUCAUUGGAAGAAUCCAGAACCUGCCAUCAAACCAGGAUGGAGAACAUUCAGUCUUGGUGUGGGACUCAUGGAUUAGAUUCAGCUAUUAACCUCCCAUGCAUUCAGCCUUGGUACCGGACUCAUGGAUUAGAUUCAACUGCAUGUAUCAACCUCCCAUCAUUCAGCCUUGGUAUUGGACUUGGGAAUUAGAUUCAUAUAACAACCUCCCAUGCAUUCAGCCUUGGUAGCGGACUCAUGGAUUAGAUUCAUAUAUCAACCUCCCAUGCAUUCAGCCGUGUUAUCGGACUCAUAGAUUAGAUUCAGCUAUCAACCCCCUAUGCAUUCAGCCUUGGUACCAGACUCAUGGAUUAGAUUCUUAUAUCAACCUCCCAUGCAUUCAGUCUUGGUAUUAGACACAUGGAAUACAUGUAGACCCCUAUAUCCCUAUCUAUUGUAUUCAGCUAGAUUGAGUAGGAAAUAGAAUCUUGGGAUGAAUUCUUUCAUCAUUCUCUCAUACAUUCAUCCUCGAAAUAAGAUGUAUAGGAUAGUUUAAUUAUGUGCAGAAAUGCUAGCUUUUCUUAAAUGAUUGGUUCAGAACAGUAUUGAUUUAACCCUAGUAAUAUCCCUCAUUAUAAUUUGAAUUAUUAUGAUACAAGUUCCUUUAUUUGCUUUGAAUAUGCAAUAAGCCAGCACAGUCUCAUGCUUCAGUUUAAUUUAUAGAGAUUUCUAAAGAUAUAUUUAAAUUAAUAUUAUACUUGUGAUUAGGAAGUAUGGGUCAAAGUCACAAAAAUGUAUGAAAAAUAAAGGAAAAAUAAAGGGGCCUUUAAAUUAUGUUGGACCUUUGUAAUUACUUGACUUGUGAAUUCAACCUACUGCUAUGCGAUUUCUUGGACUUGUGAUUUUGAUGUAAAAAUGGAUCUUAAUACAAUCUCUUCGGCAAUGCUUGUGAGAAUAUAAGAUUUUCUUUAAUAUUUCUUGUACAUUUUUGCCUUGCAAAAUAAUCCAGAUCUAAUCCAGGGAGUUUUACCAGCUACAAAUAACUUCAUGAUUGACUGGAAUACAGAAAGCCAAAAUGGAGUAUUCAGCCAUUUUAAUAGCAUUACCCAAGGUAUGGGAGUUAACAAAUCUGGAUUUAAUCUUUUGAAAUAUAAUCUUUGUUCAUUCAUGAGAAAGAGAGAAAAAAAAUACUUGCACUUUGGCUCUUCAUAUGGUAUGGUCAAUAAUGUCAUUCAUGAUUUUAUGAAUAGUUUAUGAAACACCCUUGGUCUAUAUUCAAGUAUGAGUGUUUGAUUUCUGUGAGGUACAUGUUCCUUAUCAAAGGUCGCACACAUUGCUU